This 325-nucleotide ribosomal RNA is filed under the name uncultured eukaryote. RNAcentral's name for it is "partial 18S ribosomal RNA". It matches the Rfam family "Eukaryotic small subunit ribosomal RNA", at positions 1470 to 1796 of the family's 1831-position model. The record is from RNAcentral.
CCCUUAGAUGUUCUGGGCCGCACGCGCGCUACACUGACUGGUGCAACAAGUGUCGCUCCUUGGCCGAUAGGCCUGGGCAAUCUUUGAACGCCAGUCGUGAUGGGGAUAGAUUCUUGCAAUUUUUAAUAUUCAACGAGGAAUUCCUAGUAAACGCGAGUCAUCAACUCGCAUUGAUUACGUCCCUGCCCUUUGUACACACCGCCCGUCGCACCUACCGAUUGAAUGGUCCGGUGAACCCUCCGGAUCGGCUCGCGCCAACGCAAGUUGAGCAAAGGCCGAGAAGUUGGGUAAACCUUACCAUUUAGAGGAAGGUGAAGUCGUAACA